UGAGGAAUAUUGGUCAAUGGCCGAGAGGCUGAACCAGCCAAGUCGCGUGAAGGAAGAAGGAUCUAUGGUUUGUAAACUUCUUUUAUAGGGGAAUAAAGUGGAGGACGUGUCCUUUUUUGUAUGUACCCUAUGAAUAAGCAUCGGCUAACUCCGUGCCAGCAGCCGCGGUAAUACGGAGGAUGCGAGCGUUAUCCGGAUUUAUUGGGUUUAAAGGGUGCGUAGGUGGUGAUUUAAGUCAGCGGUGAAAGUUUGUGGCUCAACCGUAAAAUUGCAGUUGAUACUGGCGACCUUGAGUGCAACAGAGGUAGGCGGAAUUCGUGGUGUAGCGGUGAAAUGCUUAGAUAUCACGAAGAACUCCGAUUGCGAAGGCAGCUUACUGGAUUGUAACUGACGCUGAUGCUCGAAAGUGUGGGUAUCAAACAGGAUUAGAUACCCUGGUAGUCCACACAGUAAACGAUGAAUACUCGCUGUUGGCGAUAUACGGUCAGCGGCCAAGCGAAAGCAUUAAGUAUUCCACCUGGGGAGUACGCCGGCAACGGUGAAACUCAAAGGAAUUGACGGGGGCCCGCACAAGCGGAGGAACAUGUGGUUUAAUUCGAUGAUACGCGAGGAACCUUACCCGGGCUUAAAUUGCAACUGACGGAACCGGAAACGGUUCUUUCUUCGGACAGUUGUGAAGGUGCUGCAUGGUUGUCGUCAGCUCGUGCCGUGAGGUGUCGGCUUAAGUGCCAUAACGAGCGCAACCCUUAUCGAUAGUUACUAGCAGGUCAUGCUGAGGACUCUAUUGAGACUGCCGUCGUAAGAUGUGAGGAAGGUGGGGAUGACGUCAAAUCAGCACGGCCCUUACGUCCGGGGCUACACACGUGUUACAAUGGGGGGUACAGAAGGCAGCUACACGGCGACGUGGUGCUAAUCCCUAAAGCCUCUCUCAGUUCGGAUUGGAGUCUGCAGCCCGACUCCAUGAAGCUGGAUUCGCUAGUAAUCGCGCAUCAGCCACGGCGCGGUGAAUACGUUCCC
Molecule: ribosomal RNA, 1017 nt
Filed under: uncultured bacterium
Lineage: Bacteria
Description: bacterial SSU rRNA
Rfam family: Bacterial small subunit ribosomal RNA
Source: RNAcentral